GCCAAGAUGGCUUAGUGGCUAAUGCGACUGCCUAGUAAGCAGGAGACCUGGGUUCGAUUCCCGGUCUUGUUGCA
Molecule: non-coding RNA, 74 nt
Organism: Schistocerca nitens (vagrant locust)
Lineage: Eukaryota; Metazoa; Arthropoda; Insecta; Orthoptera; Acrididae
Source: the annotation of a RefSeq genome assembly